Molecule: non-coding RNA, 270 nt
Organism: Suncus etruscus (white-toothed pygmy shrew)
Lineage: Eukaryota; Metazoa; Chordata; Mammalia; Eulipotyphla; Soricidae
Source: RefSeq, a predicted model, not a curated record
AUCCUGUAGGCUGGGAGCUGUGUGGAGUUGAUGGUAUCUUGAGCACUUCAGCCUCACAGAAAGAGCAUCUUCUGGAGGAAGCUGAGGCAUGGCUGCCCGAGGUCCUGCCAGCCAUGUGCAAUUUUCCUCCCACAGCUUGUGAGCACUGUUGCCAUGGCAAUAGCCACUGCACCGUGUAGUUGUCUGUCAGCAACAGUCAGAGAUAACCCGAUCAUGAUAUUGUUUUGCAGAUAGAAUGGUUUCUGUUGAAUACAAAGUACCACUACCAAA